UGGGGGGAUUUAGCCCAGUUUUGGGGGGGCUCAGCCCAAUUUUGGAGGGGUUUAGCCCAGUUUUGGGGGGGCUCAGCCCAGUUUUAGGGGUUAACCCAGUUUUGGGGGGGCUCAGCCCAAUUUUGGAGGGGUUUAGCCCAUUUUGGGGGGGGCUCAGCCCAGUUUUGGGGGUUAACCCAGGUUUGGGGGGCAGAGCCCAGCCCAGCUGGGCUCAGCCCAACUUCGGGGGUUUAAUCCUGGCUUUGGGGGUGCCAAGGGAGGGGCUGCAGCCCCUGCUGGGCUGAGAAGGGACAAAUUUGGGGUUUUUCCCCCAGAAUGGGCUCUGGGGGGGUCCUGCCCCCCAGACCGAGCAGGAGGGGUUUCAUUUCUCAUUUUUCCACAGGAAAAGGCUGAUUCCCCCUCCCCACCCCAAAAUUCUCCUUCAUCCCCCCCUUUAGGGCCCCCCAACCCUUCAGAGCCUCCCCAGCCCCAUCCCCCCCCAAAUUUAACUAUUUAAUAAUUUAAUUAUAAAUCAAGACAAAAACCCCUGAAUUUCUCUCUCUAAAAUUUUCUAAUUUGUUUUUUUUUUUUUUGAUUCAUGACGAGCAAAAAAAAAAUUCAUUUCAAUCAAGAGAAACAAAAAAAAAGAGCAAAACGGGAUGGAAAUUUUGGGGCGGGGAGGGGGCAAAAUGCUGCAUUAAAUUGUGUUUUAUAUAAUAAAAUUAUCUAUCUAUCUGUCUAUCUAUAUAUAUAUAUAUAUAUAUAUACACAGCAAGAGCUGAAAUGUCCCCAGGGACGGGGGGGACACCGAGCUCGGGGACCCCAAAGGAUGCUCGAGGUGGGGCCACUUUAUUAUAAAUAUUAAUUUUAUUUUCCUUUUUUUCCCUUUUUUGGUUUUUUUUUGUUUUUUUUCCUGCAUCUUUCUAUAUAAUCUAUUAAAGAGAUUCUUUAUCUUCAAGCACUCGCAAAGGUUGCAGCGGUUUUUAUGUGUUUUUUUCCAAUUUUUUUGGUUUUUUUGGUGAGGAUUUUCUCGGGGGUGGGUGGGGGGGAAGGAAAAGGAGUGAGGAAAGGAAGAGAGAGAGAGAGAGAGAGAGAGAGGAAAAAAAAAUAAAGAAAUAUAUGAAAAAAAUAAAUAAAGCACAGAAAAGACAUUCCAUAGAUUGUAACUUUGAUAGUUCUUUAUAAAGUGGGGGGAGAUGAGGAAAAAAAAAUAAAAACUAUGACAAAAAACGACAAAAAAAAAUUAAAAUAAUAAAAAUUGCACUUUGGGGGGGGGCUUUAAAAUAAAAAAAAAAAAAAGAGAGAAAUAAACUAUAUAUUAAAAAUA
Long non-coding RNA from Haemorhous mexicanus (house finch), 1306 nucleotides. RefSeq lists it as uncharacterized. The record is from RefSeq and is a predicted model, not a curated record. The transcript is spliced from 2 exons. Lineage: Eukaryota; Metazoa; Chordata; Aves; Passeriformes; Fringillidae.